AAACUACUCCCUCCGUUUUGAAUUACUUGUCGGAGGUAUGGAUGUAUCUAGAUGUAUUUUAGUUUUAGAUACAUCCAUUUCUGUAACAAGUAAUUUAGAAUAAAGGGAGUACGUA
This is a non-coding RNA of Triticum urartu, 115 nucleotides long. The record is from Rfam. Lineage: Eukaryota; Viridiplantae; Streptophyta; Magnoliopsida; Poales; Poaceae.